GAUGAAGAACGUAGCGAAAUGCGAUAAGUAAUGUGAAUUGCAGAAUUCCGUGAAUCACCGAAUCUUUGAACGCAUAUUGCGCCCCUUGGUAUUCCAUGGGGCAUGCCUGUUCGAGCGUCAUUUGUACCUUCAAGCUUUGCUUGGUGUUGGGUGUUUGUCCUGAGGGACUCGCCUUAAAGUAAUUGGCAGCCAGUGUUUGGUUUUGAAGCGCAGCACAAGUCGCGAUUCAAGGCUAUACACCAGCUUCCACAAGCCCUUUUCACUUUUGACCUCGGAUCAGGUAGGGAUACCCGCUGAACUUAAGCAUAUCAAUAAGCGGAGGA
RNAcentral lists this unclassified non-coding RNA (323 nucleotides) under soil metagenome. RNAcentral describes it as "partial contains 5.8S ribosomal RNA, internal transcribed spacer 2, and large subunit ribosomal RNA". The stretch from base 1 to 120 matches the Rfam family "5.8S ribosomal RNA", at positions 35 to 154 of the family's 154-position model. The record is from RNAcentral.